This 481-nucleotide long non-coding RNA is filed under the name Volvox carteri. Its description in RNAcentral is "long non-coding RNA (VCAR_LNC003165)". Lineage: Eukaryota; Viridiplantae; Chlorophyta; Chlorophyceae; Chlamydomonadales; Volvocaceae. The record is from RNAcentral.
GCGGUCGCGGAGGCGAACGUGCUCCAGGAACAAAAGGUAAAAAGCCGCGUCGUGUGUUUUGUGGGAGACUGGGGCUUAGGAGGACAGGGAAGGGGGUUGGUAGAGGGGGGAAAAGAGAGAGAGAGUGAGAAGGGUGGGGAGGGGGAGAGGAAUACGUCCUGGGGGAAAGAGAUGCGGUAAAGCCGAGAGAUGGGAGUCCUCCGGUCCCUUAAUCCCGCUGAAACACACCUCCCGUCGUUGCGGGAAUCCCCCUCCUUUCCCAAAUCCUGCCUACCCGCCCGGGGCCCCCCCCUUCGUUGCAUAACCUGAAAUGUCGUACCUGGGAGAGCUUUGAUGGUAACAUUGGGGGUGGCAGUAGCUGCAGGGCACCACUCUGUAGACCUGCACUUGGUACCUUGCACGACGUCUGUUUUUAUUCAUGGCCCUUCACUUCCUCUUCCCCCCGGCCACCAGCAGCUUCACUCGUUCGUGGUUCGUCUUU